This is a long non-coding RNA of Tarenaya hassleriana, 442 nucleotides long. RefSeq lists it as uncharacterized. Lineage: Eukaryota; Viridiplantae; Streptophyta; Magnoliopsida; Brassicales; Cleomaceae. The record is from RefSeq and is a predicted model, not a curated record. The transcript has 2 exons.
UACAAAGGGGGUUUGGGAUUAUAAUUAUAAAUAAGGUCUCUCUCUCUCUCUCUCUCUCUCAGUAGUUUAGUUUUAUUAGUGAAGGGGAAAUGGAGAAGUGGAUGAGUGUGGUGGUGGUGAUGAUGGUGGUGGUGAGUGCAUGUGCAUGCAUGGGAAUGGGACAAGCGAGAGGAGAUGAGAAAUACGACAGAUGCCUUCAGACAUGCGUCAAGGACAGAUGCAUGAGGGGCUCCACUCCUAACCCUAAUUGCGUCAUGCUCUGCGAAGACUUCUGCUAUCACGGCCCAGGAGGAAUGGCAGCAAGGACGAACAAAAUUGGAGUAUGAAUGCUUCUAUUCCGUGUUAUGAAAAUGUAUGAUGUUAUGAAAAUGUAUGAUGGGACUAACAGGGAAAAAAUUCCAUGUAUUUACAGUUUCAAUAAUAUAGUUUGGGAUUUUAUAUU